Long non-coding RNA from Notothenia coriiceps (black rockcod), 85 nucleotides. RefSeq lists it as uncharacterized. The record is from RefSeq and is a predicted model, not a curated record. The transcript is spliced from 3 exons. NCBI's taxonomy places the organism in Eukaryota, Metazoa, Chordata, Actinopteri, Perciformes, Nototheniidae.
AGGCCCGGACUCUCGAGAGCAAUAACACUUUCUGCAAGGCUUUUAUCCCUACAAGAAUUACACCAGAAUCAGAAUGAAGUUGACA